This 994-nucleotide long non-coding RNA is filed under the name Brassica napus (rape). RNAcentral's name for it is "long non-coding RNA (BNAP_LNC020644)". The record is from RNAcentral. Lineage: Eukaryota; Viridiplantae; Streptophyta; Magnoliopsida; Brassicales; Brassicaceae.
UAUGAACCCUAACUUUUUCAAAUCCUAAUUCAGCUCAAUUAGACUCGUUUUUCAUCUAUCCAACUCAUCAAUCAAGCCUAAAAGGACAUAAUUAACGAGUAUUGAACAAGAAAUCAACCAUGCAACCACUUUGAAAAAAGUUGGAAAUUUUGAAUGCGAAAAUUAGAUGGCGAUUUCUCUAUACCUUAGCUUGUUUCAGAUAAACAAGGGUAGAAAAAUGAAAAGUCGAAGUGAAAUCACGGAGAUAGCAACUUGAAUCAACGAAUUUGGUGUAGAAUUGAGAGAGUUAUGAGUUCUUAAGCUUUGGAGAAUGAAAGUAUGAAGUUUUGUGAUAAGGGAGAAAGAGAGAUACGAUUUUGGAGAAGAAGAAGGAGUAGCUCGCGACUGGUUGAUGGUUUCGAUCCGGUUCAGUUAAUUAAACAGGAAAUCGACGUCAGUUCGCGUGAUUUAAACCCGCAGCGGUCACUCGACACCGCUCCAAUAGGCCGCUGCAACUCCCACAACGGCUUCUUGCCACGAAACCUCACAGACCGCUGCGACAAGUACGAAUCGGGCAGGGAGCAGAGUAUUUUCACAGCGGCUUGAGUAGACCGCUCCGAGAGACCGCUGUGACACUUAAAGCAUAUUUCUCAUCUUCUCGUUUGGUCGCAGCGGUGUGUGAGGGCCACUGUGCGUGGCCGCUGUGAGCGUUUUGAACCUCUCUACACCUUGUUCAUGUCCACAACUUCUCCUUUUGGACUUGAUGAUCUGAUAGACACAGAAAAAUAACCAAAGACAUACUAGAAAUAGAAAAACUGAAAGAUAAAAAUAUGUACAAGGAUAGACAUGGGACUUCCUCCCCAUUGAGCUUGUUUUAAGUCUCUAGCUUGACUUCCUUUCUUUUUGGUUAGGCGGGAAUGGGGUCGGAGAGAGGAACCGAGGUUUUCUCGUCCUCUGUUGUGGCUCCCAUGUCGAGCUUAACCCUCUGUCCAUUGACUGUAAAGUCUCCACCAUC